RNAcentral lists this ribosomal RNA (253 nucleotides) under uncultured bacterium. Its description in RNAcentral is "partial 16S ribosomal RNA". It matches the Rfam family "Bacterial small subunit ribosomal RNA", at positions 524 to 776 of the family's 1533-position model. The record is from RNAcentral.
UACGUAGGGGGCUAGCGUUGUCCGGAUUUAUUGGGCGUAAAGAGCGUGUAGGCGGCCAGGUAGGUCUGCUGUGAAAACUCGAGGCUCAACCUCGAGACGUCGGCGGAAACCAUCUGGCUAGAGUCCGGAAGAGGAGAGUGGAAUUCCUGGUGUAGCGGUGAAAUGCGCAGAUAUCAGGAAGAACACCCGUGGCGAAGGCGGCUCUCUGGGACGGUACUGACGCUGAGACGCGAAAGCGUGGGGAGCGAACAAG